Nemania sp. FL0916 is the source of this 89-nucleotide non-coding RNA. The record is from the annotation of a GenBank genome assembly. Lineage: Eukaryota; Fungi; Ascomycota; Sordariomycetes; Xylariales; Xylariaceae.
GUCGGUGUGGUGUAGUGGUUGCACGCUUGGUGAGGCUGGUCGACGACCGUGUAAGGCAAGAAGCGUUGGUUCGAUCCCAGCCUCCGACC